This is a small nucleolar RNA of Symphalangus syndactylus (siamang), 99 nucleotides long. RefSeq annotates it as small nucleolar RNA U13. The record is from RefSeq and is a predicted model, not a curated record. NCBI's taxonomy places the organism in Eukaryota, Metazoa, Chordata, Mammalia, Primates, Hylobatidae.
AUCUUUUGUGGUUUCUAAGUAUGAUUGGGUUUUCACAUGCAUGUGUGAGGUGUGCCACCCUCAAACCUUGUUAUGACGUCGGCACUUACCCAUCUGACA